AAUCAGGAAACAUGCGGGCAAGCGCCGCCCAACCCCGCCAGGUUCGGAAGGAAGCAACGGUCAGCGGAGGCUUGCAGCGCCGUGUCCAUCUUGAUUGCA
RNAcentral lists this signal recognition particle RNA (99 nucleotides) under Treponema sp. Its description in RNAcentral is "signal recognition particle sRNA small type". It matches the Rfam family "Bacterial small signal recognition particle RNA". From Rfam's summary of the family: The signal recognition particle (SRP) is a universally conserved ribonucleoprotein involved in the co-translational targeting of proteins to membranes. Archaeal SRP consists of a 7S RNA and homologues of the eukaryotic SRP19 and SRP54 proteins. In most bacteria, the SRP consists of a 4.5S RNA and the Ffh protein (a homologue of the eukaryotic SRP54 protein). The record is from RNAcentral. Lineage: Bacteria; Pseudomonadati; Spirochaetota; Spirochaetia; Treponematales; Treponemataceae.